RNAcentral lists this ribosomal RNA (248 nucleotides) under uncultured bacterium. Its description in RNAcentral is "partial 16S ribosomal RNA". It matches the Rfam family "Bacterial small subunit ribosomal RNA", at positions 529 to 776 of the family's 1533-position model. The record is from RNAcentral.
AGGGCGCAAGCGUUGUCCGGAAUUAUUGGGCGUAAAGAGCUCGUAGGUGGUUUGUUACGUCUGCUGUGAAAUCCUAGGGCUUAACCCUGGGCUUGCAGUGGAUACGGGCAGACUAGAGUGCGGUAGGGGAGACUGGAAUUCCUGGUGUAGCGGUGGAAUGCGCAGAUAUCAGGAGGAACACCGAUGGCGAAGGCAGGUCUCUGGGCCGCAACUGACGCUGAGGAGCGAAAGCAUGGGGAGCGAACAGG